Molecule: long non-coding RNA, 1189 nt
Filed under: Mus caroli (Ryukyu mouse)
Lineage: Eukaryota; Metazoa; Chordata; Mammalia; Rodentia; Muridae
Description: lncRNA (MGP_CAROLIEiJ_G0003158.1)
Source: RNAcentral
GAUGCUCAGGGCUCGGGUGGGAAACUCAGGUAAAUGAAUGAGGCCUUUGGGAAGGCAGAUCUUCUCAGAGGAGACUCUGGCCAGAGCUGUCUUCUAUUUUCCCCUCCUAAGAGCCUUCUUGGAAGGGGAGGAGGGACCCAGCAAGCAGGAGCAGCGGGAAAACAGAGGGGCCGUUACCAGCCCACCGCAGCUAACAGCCAAGACACUCUAGAUUUCUGGAUAUUAUGCGUCCAUGGCUUAGCUGCAACAGAUUUAAGACACCCAGCCCCAAAAUGGGCCAGCACAGCAGGGGCCUGGGCCGGGAUGUCUUUUGGAACAGGCUUUCAGACCCAUCAAGAGAACUCUGAGCUGACCGAGUGCCCAGGGUGCUGUGUGGCACUGUAAUCCAUCCAUCCAUCCAUCCAUCCAUCUAUCCAUCCAUCCAUCCAUCCAUCCAUCCAUCCAUCCAUCCUUUCACAGUGCUAUCAUCGGGGCUGUGGAAGUCUGUGAGGUAGGAGGCAUCGUGGCGUCGUCGGGGGUCAGCAUCGUCGCAGCGCUGGCACUGUAGCCCAGCCCCUGGUGCCCCCACGUGUGGACAGAAGUCCUCCGGGGGCCGUCCGCACGUGUGGGAGGCCUCAGCGCGUCGGCCGAACGCCGCGUUCUCGAACUCAGGCAGACAGCGCUGUGCGCGUCCUGCACCGUCGUAGCAAGAGCCCAUGCCCGCGCCUGCCGCGAAGUGUGUCUCCAGAAUCACCAGCGCCAUAGAUGCCACCGUUGCCAGGAGCGACAGGACCCCGGAUACAGCCAUGGCCCUCGCCCCGCUCUGCACUGCACCGGUAUCCACUCUAUGCUGCGGUCUGUGCUUAGCCCCUCUGCGCUCCACUGGCCCCUGGAGUCCUCCUCCCCUGCAGGCGGAACCCGACGGCAUCUGAGGGCGGGACCCAUGCAGACGACACCCCACCAUCCGAGCUCUGUCCCUUCGUGCUCACCCCCACCUGCUGGACGUGCCUGGGAGUGCCUGCUUGUUCUGGCUGGGCCGUGAUCCUGGCUCCACAGUCCUCCCUGCAAAAUGGUCUCGGUAGAGAUACCAAGUUAUUCUGCUAAUGCGACUCUUCUAUGGAAGCUCUACCUGCACCUGUGUACCUUCCUGAGCUGAAAGGCAAGACAAGAGCAGGUCUUCACCUGACAGAAUGACCUUUGGCAGUUUUCC